GAAAACAUUGCAGUCAACCCCAGGGCAUAUAAAAUUCUUAAAAAGAUUCAACAAAAAGAAGAAGUUGUUCAAAGUGGAAGACCGGGGAUCUACAGGUAAGAAAGCAUUUACUGAAGGGUGUAGAUGACCGAGUCAAGCUAGUGACGUUAAAGAAGCGCUUGCUAGGAAGCAACCAAGUGUUUUGAUGUAUUUUUCGUCCAUAUAGAGGGUAAGAAAGGUGACUCAUUAUUCCAUUUUCUUUAUUUCAAAAAAAAAAAAAGGAAUUCGACGCCCGGGCGGUGGAAUUGGUUGCCAGGGCGACGACGAAGCAGUUUUAAAAAUUGGAUCUGUAGCUCAAGCGAGCCCAACCCAAAUACACUCCUUUUUAUUCCAAGGGUCUCACCUGAGCCUCCACACUCAGCUUUCCUCUCCAACAACCCUCCAAACACCUCCCCUAAUUACUCUCUCCAAUUUUCCCCCUUUCCUAAACCCAUCAAAGACUAGGCCUCCACUCUUGGGCAGAAAAAUCAAAAGCCUCAAAGGGAGUUACUCUCACUUCAUCCUCAAUUUAUUCUAUGCUCCCAUCAUGGGUAAGUAUUGCAAAUCUAUGCUUUCAUUGAUGAAAACCUUUACCAAAAAGUUGCAUGUUCUUUAAAGGGGUUACAAAUUAUUGAUGAAAUUGAUCGGUUUUAAAGAGGAAUUUAACCCCAAACCGAUGUUGCCAUGAUCCUAAAUUGAUUGAUUGGUUGAAACCCUCCAAAAAUGGGCUGAAAUAGCAAAGGUGGUCGCGCGAUGCCCGGGCGGUGGGAUUGGUUGCUCGGGCGACCGACGCUGCAGCAAGCCCUCCCAAUUUUUUUUGCUUCCUCUGAUUUUUACCAUGCAGAGCUGUUAUUCUUUCCAUCUGAAAAAGGGAGAGGCUGAGCUACGAAAUUCUUGACUAAUACCCGACGUUUGUUGGCUUUGUUUGUGAUUCUUUAUUCACAAGAAUGACGUUAGGCUCUAGGAGACCAAGGACUGCAGGUAGCAAAAGAAAGGAGAUUGAGCAGUUAUAUUCCCACCAGUUCAAGACACCGGCCCAUGCAAGAUAUUUCUCAAUAGUUGAGGGGAAGAAGCUGCUCAUGGAAUGCAAGGUGAGGCUGAUCACAGCCUCAGCCCCUCAGUUUGGAAGGGAGAUCACCAACAGAGGAUGGCUGAACCUAACCACCUACCCUGCCUCAGCCAACCCUGCCAUUGUGAAAGAAUUCUACACUAAUGCUAGGGCGUUGGGUGGUGAACCAGAGACAUACUCCAGCUAUUUGAGGGGCCGAAGGAUCCCCUUUGAUGCCAACACUAUCAACACCUUUUUGGGCACUGAUUGGGAAGGAGGAAGGUGCCAAUAUGAGCAGACCAUAAUUGAGGGAGUUGAUUAUGAGGAUGUGGUGAGGACUCUAUGCCUACCUAGGGAACGCUUUGAGCUGAGUAGAGUUGGAGUACCGACCCACCUCAAGAGGUCAUUCUUGAUUCCAAUGGCUAGGUAUUGGAUGACUUUCACCCAGGCCAACAUCCUCCCCUGCUUGCAUGUGUCUGACAUCACCAGCCUGGGGGCUACAUUCCUGUUCUGUGUCAUGAGUGGACGUGGUGUCAACAUAGGAUCAGUCAUUGCUGAUGAGAUUAGGAGCUGCACCCGCAACUUGCAUACUAGAACCCCAUUGGGGCACCCCUCCUGAUCACUCAUCUGUGUGAGAUGAUGGGUGUAGAUGUGUCUAAACCACCUCUAGAGAGCCCGAGAAAGGAGUUGGACGAUUCUUACUUUGCCUACCACUAUGCGAUUGAGGAACAGGGCCCAACCAUGAUCCCACAACAGGAGCCAGGGGCUCAUAGGGGACCACCACCACCAGCCCAUAAGGCCACCCCAUUUCAGAUGAGGGACAUGUAUAUGUCCCUAAUGGAGGCACGAAUGACAUUCCUCUACAGAGGGGAGCAGGAGUUGCUGAGGACACUGACAUCCGCUUUUCUUGAGAGACACUUUAUCUCACAGGAGGAGUUUGCAGCCAGAGUGGCAUGGCCCGCUGACCCAACAUAGGGAGGUGGCGGCGAUGGAGCUGCUGGGACCUCAGCCAUGGGAUAUGACUCAGAGGAAGAUUAUUAAUGAGAUGUACUUGGCAUCUACUGAUGGAUGCCACCUUUAGAAUAGGAUUUCUUUUGAAUAUGUUAUUUCUGCACUUUAAUUGUUGUAGCUUGUCUAGACUUCUACUUCUAAUUUUUGUCUUUAUUUUAAUUAAUGUGUGCUUUCUUUUAUUUUAAUUUCUAUGUGCUCUACUUGAAUGAAUUGAUCUGCUUUGACUCAACUGUGCUCUGUUUUGUGUGAUAAGUUUACUUUUUGAAACAUUUUGUGUUUGAUUGAGGUUGAGAUGAUGCACGAUGAUAAAUUUGUGAGGCAGGUGCUUGAGAUAAAGUUUGAUUGAGAUACUGAGUAGGUUGUUUUUCUGAAUUGGGAACUUGUGAGCUCACCUGUUUGAGUUUUGAGCUUCAGAUUUGUUUGUAAAUAAUGGUUGUUACUUUGGAAGCAUGAAUGAUUUUGCCCAAAUUUUCUGAUUGAACUACUUGCUUGCAGGUUCCAUAUGAUCAAGGCCAUCUUUAGUUAUCCCUUAUUCUUUUGGCCUUCAAAAUAUUUUUGCCCACUAAAAAGAGAACAAUUUGUUCUAACCUUUGAACCUUGAGCCUGAUAUGUCUUAAAAAACCUUUUCGAAAAAAUCUUUACCUUGAGUUAAGUUGAGAACAUUUGGUGAGGUACUGAUAAAGGUUCAUGUUUGGGGUUACCAAGACACAAACCACCUCUCUUGGCAGUGAGCAAUCAAAAAGAAAAGCAAGAAAAAGGCAAAAGAAAAGAAAAAGUGAGAAAGGAAAAAUUCAAAAAGAAAAGGAAAGAGCUCACUGCAAGGAAAGGCUGGGAAGAAGAUAAGAGAGCUGCUAUUGAAAGAUGAAUUCAUAAAUGUCUCUCUUAACUCAAGGAACUUUGCUGACCAUAAAAACCAAUUUACUUCUUAGCCUAGCCAAGAUACAAGCCAUGAAAAGCCCUUGUGAUGACAACCUGUUUAUGAGUAUGUUUGAUUGUGGUUAAAUGAAAGGCAAAAUUAAUUUGUGUGACAUUGUGACAAUAGAGAGAACCACCACAGCAUACACUUGAGAGUUGAGUGAGACACUUUUGAAUGCUUGAGUGCUUGAGUGAAACACUUUCCCUGGUGAGAAUUAGUUCUCUGAAUUUCUGAUUGCAUCUCUACUUGGUUGAUCGAUCACUCUUAAGGAUAGCAUAUGCUGAAAAUGCAUUAAAACAUCUACACAUCUUGACUAAAGUCCUAUGCUGAAAUUGAUAACAGUGAUUCUUUGUCUUGAAAAAGUUUUUGAAAAAGGUUGAGUCAUUGUAGUGAUUAUUCUGAAAAGUUGAGUUGCAUUGUGUUUGCUUGAGGACAAGCAAAGUUCUAAGUUUGGGGUUGUGAUAACAGAUUGAAAUACCGUUAUUUGCUAUAUGAUUUUAAUACUAAAAGCACCCUUUUUCACUUAGAAACUUGCUUGAACUCAUGAGUUUUUAGUAAAUUUUUUUGAAUAAGAGAGUUGAGGUUGAUUUUAAUAGUUUUCUUAAAAAUUCCCCUCGUUUUGACAGAGAUUGAAGCAACACUGGAAGAAGAAGUGAAAAGCCAUGAAGAUGGAGCUCAAAAGGGGUAAAAAAGGCACCAAGAAGGGAGAAAACCCAAAGCCUAGGCGAAGACCAGGAAACAGGAAUGCAAAACAGCUAAGCUAAAAAUGACGCUAGUCACCCAGGCGACGGACCCGACGCUCGGGCGAUGGACGCCCGAAGCUCAGGCGUCCAAAACUGGAGCCCAAGCCUCACAAAAUCCUUGAUUAAUGGUUGGGCGAGCUCCCUGCGACGCUUGAGCGUGAUUUCACGUGGAUCGGGCCCUAAUUUUGCUCUGAUUUGAUUCUUUUGGACCGGGCCGCACUUUGGGACGCUUCUGGCGCUAUUUAAAGGACCCUGGGCUCUAGCUUUUGUAUCCCUGGCAGAAGAGAGCAUAGCAAUACACUCUUAGGCAAUUCUCAGUCUUCCAUUCUCUUCUUUUCUUCCAUUAUUCAUAGAGUUCCCCCAUGUCUAUGGGGAACAAAUUUCUAUUUGUUGUUGGAGAAUGAUGUAACGUUGUGAACUCUCAUGUGUUUGAAUUGAUUCUUAAUUCUAUAUGCUUUAUUUCAUUAUUUGUUAGAGUAAUUCAUCUGCUUUAUUCUUGCUCAAACAAUAGCAUUAUUUGUGAGUUGCAUGAGUGCCGG
Molecule: long non-coding RNA, 4275 nt
Filed under: Vigna radiata
Lineage: Eukaryota; Viridiplantae; Streptophyta; Magnoliopsida; Fabales; Fabaceae
Description: long non-coding RNA (VRAD_LNC017718)
Source: RNAcentral